CCUGGGCACAAGUGAGGACAAGGACUCUGCCACUGCCCUUCAUCCCCAGCAUCCUCUAUGAGUGACACAGAGAGGUGACAGCACGGGGAGCACUGGGGCUGGCACAUUCCAGCUGCAGAACAGCCAGAAAAGGUCACAACAUCCAGCAGUUACCAACCUGCCUCAUCUCACCUCUGCCUGCUGCCUCUCAGGUCCUUCCUUAGGCUAACUGCAAUCUCCAGCGUUUUGGAGAUGGUUGAUUACUUUUCUUAGUGUCUCCUGCAGGGCUGGCAGUGCUCCCAGCACAGCUCCCACCACCCCUCUGUGCAGUGGGAACUCUCACACUGUCCCAAAACAAUGCAAGCUCCUUCCCAAGUAUCUCCUAUUUUCCUGCUGCAGGUGCUGAUGGGGAGCUGAUGCUCACCCCUGCUAUUUCUGGAUGACCCCAAGGUUAUUUUCCCUUUAUUCCAGCACUGGGGAAGGCUCAUCCAAUUGUUUCACCCCCUGCAGUGCUGCUGUCUUCUCCAGCUCCCUGAGCACCAAGCAGCUCUCCCUUGGAUUUUGGGCUCCAACUUUGGGCAUCUGAAGAGAUGGGAGAUCAUUGGGAACGUGGGGCGACCCUACAAAUCAUAGCAUGGAAUCACAGACUCAUAGAACGGAUUGAGUUGGGAGGGACCUGAAAGAUCAUCAAGAUCCUGGAGCUUGGAGCCAUCCUAUAAUUAAAAGACAGGAUGUACACAGCACAGGAGUCUGCUCCUAGAAAAAACAACAGAAGGAAUCUCAUUGCCAAGGGAAGCCCGAGCCCCCUAAGAUCUCAGUGUUAGACAGCAGGAUCCUGUCUGCCUCCCUGCAGAGUUUGCCCAGCUCCUCCUGGAUUCCUCUCUGGCCCAUCUAACGGAGGAAGCACUGAUUUUGCCCCUUUUUUCAGGAAACCAAAACGCUCCCCUUGCAGCAGAGCCCCCCUGCACUCCUGGGCUGGCCGUACGGACGCACACAGCAGCGCCUCUUCUUUGCACGGCCGCAAUUUCUCCAAGCACAGGUUGUAAUUUCUCCACCCCUUCCCCUGCGGUUCUGGUGGGACGAGUUGUCCUGGGCUCUGGGUGCAGCCUGUCAGGCUCUCUGCAGCCACUGCUGUAUUUUUAUUCAUUAAGGGAGUGAGCGGCGGAAACUGCCAAAUGUCUCCCGUGGUAUCAGCACACUCUUUUUAAGGUGAUAUGGGUCUGAUCUCGUCAAAAUUAAUGGCUUAUGGUUAUUCAUGCUAUUAUUCUUAAUGGGGCCAAGCAUAUACUGUACCCAGAAAGAGGCAGCGCUUGACUUGUCAAAGAUUUAUGGCACAUCAUGACCUGGCUGGGAUGACUGUAACAUAUAAAAACUUCAUUGCUAAUAACGAUGCUGUGCUCAGAAUAAAAAGGAACGGGGAUGGAAAGAUACUGCAGGCAUCCAUGGAUCACGGUGCUUUCUCGUGUUCGUGGUCUUACAGGACCUCUGUUCACUGGAGGGUACAAGAUGCAGCCAGAAGGGGGCUGCUAGCAGGUGGGCUUCAGGCUUUAUGGCAACAGCCAGCCUUUUAGUUUGCAUUUGCAAAGCAAAUAUUAUCCUUAUGUACCUUAUGAUGCUGAUCCGGCUUUCAAAGCUCUUUACAGAACCAUUGAGCUCUCUACAGCUCCCUGAAAGGAGGGUCAGGUUGGACGUUAGGAAAAACUUCUCCAUCAGAGUAAUUGGGUGCUGGAAAAGGCUGCGCAGCGAGUGGUGGAGUCACCAUUUCUGGAGGUGUUUGAGAAAUGUGGCACUGAGGGAUGUGGUCAGUGGGCACCGUGGGGAUGGGUUGGGGAUCUUAGGGGUCUUUUGCAAACCUUCAUGAUUCUGUGAUGCUAUGACAUAGGAUCAGACUCUCAGAAUGACUGGUGGAGAAGCGCCUGCACCAUGGGAGACAGCAGGAGCUCAGGGAUGUAAUGGGGAAGGCAGCAGAAUUCAGGACAUCAUUUCACUGGUGUGAAAUAACGAAAUUCAGCCGAGCAGGGGAACCCCGUCCUAAUUAAAACUCAGAUGCUGCAAACAUUCGAGCACAGCCUGAACGAUCAUGGAGACACUCAGUGAAACCACCAGGACUUCGGAGGACACAGGCUGAAAAUUGCCUUAAUUAAACAAAAAGAAAGAAAAAAAGCGCAGAGAUUUGUAAACAUUGUGGGACUCCUGAAUGCUAAUUCCUGAGUGCAGAAAAAAAACCAUUCUCCUGUGUGUUUAUUAAAACCAUAUGUCUCUGCCCAUUAGGCUGCAGAGAAAAUGCUUCUUUGUUCUUUUGCUAGAAAGAAACGUUCCUCUGAUUGCAAAUAAAUAUUUCUGUAACAGGGGGAAACCUCCAAGGAAACAGUCUCCUCUAGAAGAAGGUUUGUGUUUCUUCUUUGCUCUAGGUGCAUGAUGUCUCAUUUUUAAUCAGUGCAUUCAUUAUGAUUAGCCUGACAAAUAAAGCAUCCCUAAUUCAUAGCAGGAACUGGGAAGAAAUAAGAAAAGGGCAGCUUGGAACCACAGAUCCGAGGCUUUAAAAUGAAAAAAAUAAAAAUAAUUAAAAAAAAAAAAUAGAAAUUUUGCCCAGUUUUGAUGUCUUAAACACUCGGGUCCCCCGGUUCAUUACGAGA
This is a long non-coding RNA of Tympanuchus pallidicinctus (lesser prairie-chicken), 2615 nucleotides long. RefSeq lists it as uncharacterized. Lineage: Eukaryota; Metazoa; Chordata; Aves; Galliformes; Phasianidae. The transcript is spliced from 3 exons. The record is from RefSeq and is a predicted model, not a curated record.